Long non-coding RNA from Drosophila miranda, 332 nucleotides. RefSeq lists it as uncharacterized. The transcript has 2 exons. NCBI's taxonomy places the organism in Eukaryota, Metazoa, Arthropoda, Insecta, Diptera, Drosophilidae. The record is from RefSeq and is a predicted model, not a curated record.
UCGAUAAAUCCGCGGUCACACUGGCGAGCAGAGCAAUUGCGGAACAAAACAAAGUUUAUUGUCUUUAUUUGCCUUUAUUUCUAUUGUCGACCUGUCUGAUCAAUGUGGCUACAGUGCUACGAUCAAAAUCCGAUCAUCCUUGAGAUGAUUUAAAACCAAAAAAUUUUAUUUCUAUUGUCUCCGGUGGUGAGAACCUGUAAAUAAUUUGAAUCAAAUUCAUGCAAAUUCUAUAAAAAUGCAGAAAUUCAGUUCACAAGAAAAGUAUUUAAUUGCCAACACUCUCAACUGUUGGCCUGUGAUGCUGCAAGGACACUCUGUGCUGAUGGACCUAC